GCACGAAGACGUCGCCUCGAUCUAUCGCGCGCGAUCCUAAUCUUUCUUAAAUCAUAUUUAAUACGAUUCCCGGCCCCCGUACCGACAGUUCCACGACCACAUAUACAAUAUAUAUUCUCUGCCGAUUGAACGGCCGCGGUGGUUCUCGAUUUUAUUGCGUUCGAUUCCAGCCACCCUUCCGUUACGAGAUUGGAACGGACAAAAAGAAUUCUUUUCGUAUAAAAUACCAGAACCUUGGAUUAAUUACAAACUUCGAAGAAAGCGAGAGAAAGUACGGAGGCACUUCGUGACAGACCCAAAGUUCGAGACCUCGGUAAAAAGAACUGAAAUUCCGUGGAUGCCGCUGGAUGUCGAAAAUGAACAUGAGUCGAAACACAAGGAGGGAGAUGUGUCAUGAUCAAGUUCCGACUCCAAGUCAAAGAGGCAGCUAGAUCCUUCGAUCUACACGUGUACGUCGAUUAACGUAUGAGCUGGAACGGUUGUACGUGAACGAGGCAUCAAGAAUGGCAUUUCCGUUUGGCGAACGCGAUCGACCAUUAAACUCAUCUGCAUAGGAUAAUCCCGUAUCUGAGGCAUCGGGGAUCGCGCACGGAUCGGAAAGAUUAAUAUCAGACGAUUUACUAACGAUUGCACUUUCCACUCGCCCUUGCUCGACUAUCGACGUUUUAAUUAGAGGGAUACGCCCGAGAUCCUGAAGAGAUAAUUAUACCGUUUUAACACUAUCUCCUUAGAUUAUCAUUCUAGAACAGUGCGCUGUACUCUGUAUUAAACUGUUCCAUACGGAGUGUAUUAAUCAAUUAAGGAUCGUCAAGAGUUUCUAAUAGAUACAAGGAACGUUCGAUAAACAUUUUCCUUUUCUAUUUUUCAGGCUAUUUAAAAUAUACGAAUCGCGAUUAAACAGUCUCUGUCAAUAUACCGAGGGUAAAAUUAGAUUAUAAAGGAUUCUGGGACAGGGAACGUGAUUAGAGAAAUCUCGUUCAUUCGUAGCUGUACUUGAAGCAAUAUUGAAAGAAAAUAUUUGAUGUGGAACGGUCACUUUCUUGGAACCUUUCUUCUUCCGUCGCUUUGGAGAAAGUCCAACCUUCGGCGACGAAGUAAAAAAGUGCAGAGGACAGGGACGAACUGGCUGAUCAAAGAGGCUCGCGACGAGUUCAUUGAAAAUAGAAUGGAAACGUGUGCGCGCGGAGAUCAUGCCGCGACGUUCGAUCUUCGACCGGUUCGAUCGUCCGCGGGGAACGGUGUUACGUAACUCGUUCCACGAGUCGCGAUUUUCAGCCACGCGGGUCGAUCGGCAUCGAAACGCGCGAGAGACACCCCCGUGUCGAGUCAUGAAUAUUUAUGAGGCUGCAAACGAUUUAUUUUUCACGCGGAAAUAUUUAUUAACGGGACACGCUCCGCGGCCUUCUCACAAAAAGCCUCGCGGGUUAAUUGGUAGUCGGCAGUUGUUCAAAACCUGACGCUCGAUAAAUCACGAGUUUUGUACGAUUCAAUUUGCUCCGAGAAUAUUUGUCGAGAUAAGCUUUAUUAAUCAAUCAUCGUUAUUCGAGAAAAUGUUGGAUCGUCAGCUCGGAGUACUGUUAAUAUAAUACUGUGAAAUGUAUUAUUACUUAAAAAGGAAUAGAAGUGACUCAAUGAUUAAUUACAAACACGUAUCGUCGUUUAGGAAAAUUUCAGCAAACGAUCGUUUUAUCCUCCUUUGGUGUGACGAGGAGGCAACAGUCACAGACACAAGUAAAUGAAAAUAUAAAAGGGUUAAAAGCAACACCGGAAGAGAGUCGAAAAUAGAAUAGUUAGUCACUGAGUCGAGUGGUGUGCUGUGUCUAUUGGCAAGCCACAGGUAUUUUGGCAAGAUACAUACAAAUCGUGAUUAAAUCAUUCAAGCACAAUGUUGCUCCGUCAAGUAACGAAAGAAAAAAAGAAUCCUAAUUCUAAAUAGAUAUGCUUAAUUACGUAAAAUGUUUCAGGCGAUUAAACAUCAUUCCAGUAACAAGAACCAUUCUAAUGCUUUAAUUCUAAUGCUUAAUUCAUAUGUUCCUAAGAAGUGUUAUAAAACAUUGUAAUAGAUUCUUCUAAUGUCACAGGAAUUUCGUUAUUCAGGUUUACGUAAGAGAGGACAUUGAAGUUCUGUCGUUAGGAGAGCUUACGACUGCGACGUCGUCAGAAAAGAAGUUCGAGCAAAGUUAAACGUUUAUCCUCGUUUCAAAAAAGAAACUUUGAUCGGUCGGCGUGAAUUUAGAGCCGAGAUCAACGAGCGGGACUCUAUCGAAGUUUCAAAGGUUAACGUGGACUACUUAAGAAGAGGUACAUGUACUAGGCAGCGCAUAUUCUUGGAUCAGCUCUCUCGGCCCCAGUCGCAGACCUGAUCGCAUUCUACUGUUAAUUUCGCCGAUUCAAAUCCGGUCGUCAAGACAAACACUUUCUCGCCAGCGCGAUCAGUUUUCUCCUUUUUCAACUGUUAUGCUACUCAUUUUAUAUUACUUGUCAUACGAAACGUCCUGCUCGUGCCAUUUUAUGAUUCUAAUAAUGUAUAAAUUCUAUU
Molecule: long non-coding RNA, 2539 nt
Organism: Ceratina calcarata
Lineage: Eukaryota; Metazoa; Arthropoda; Insecta; Hymenoptera; Apidae
Exons: 5
Source: RefSeq, a predicted model, not a curated record